Molecule: small nuclear RNA, 19 nt
Filed under: Arabidopsis thaliana (thale cress)
Lineage: Eukaryota; Viridiplantae; Streptophyta; Magnoliopsida; Brassicales; Brassicaceae
Description: snRNA_09044
Source: RNAcentral
UCCCGCUUCUGGGAGAUGU